GAUCCUGGCUCAGAAUCAACGCUGGCGGCGUGCCUAACACAUGCAAGUCGAACGCGAAGACCCCGCAAGGGGUUGUUAGCGUGGCAAACGGGUGAGUAACACGUGGGCGACCUACCUCAGAGUGGGGGAUAACCUUCCGAAAGGAAGGCUAAUACCGCAUGACAUCCCAUGUUUGGAUACAUGGACAUCAAAGCCGGGGAUCGCAAGACCUGGCGCUUGGAGAGGGGCCCGCGUCCGAUUAGCUAGUUGGUGAGGUAACGGCUCACCAAGGCUCCGAUCGGUAUCCGGCCUGAGAGGGCGGACGGACACACUGGGACUGAGACACGGCCCAGACUCCUACGGGAGGCAGCAG
This 352-nucleotide ribosomal RNA is filed under the name uncultured Acidobacteriota bacterium. Its description in RNAcentral is "bacterial SSU rRNA". It matches the Rfam family "Bacterial small subunit ribosomal RNA", at positions 15 to 354 of the family's 1533-position model. The record is from RNAcentral. Lineage: Bacteria; Pseudomonadati; Acidobacteriota.